This 125-nucleotide ribosomal RNA is filed under the name Octodon degus (degu). Lineage: Eukaryota; Metazoa; Chordata; Mammalia; Rodentia; Octodontidae. The record is from RNAcentral.
UUUCUACGCCAUACCAUUCAGAACGCGCCCGAUCUCAUCUGAUCUCGGAAGCUAAGCAGGGUCGGGCCUGGUUAGUACUUGGAUGGGAGACAAUUCUUUUUUUUGGAAGAACCAGGGACUGAACU